RNAcentral lists this long non-coding RNA (284 nucleotides) under Dasypus novemcinctus (nine-banded armadillo). Its description in RNAcentral is "lncRNA (ENSDNOG00000051458.1)". Lineage: Eukaryota; Metazoa; Chordata; Mammalia; Cingulata; Dasypodidae. The record is from RNAcentral.
GAACAAGGGGAAGGCCUCCGGCGCUGAGGAUUCUGGGGAACGUAGUUCGCUCACUGGGCUGCGCACGCGCACUGGCUGCCUAGCGGCCUGGCUCAGGCGGCCGGGUGCCAUUGCUGGACGCGUUCCCGCCGUGCACUGCGAAGCCCUUCAGUUUUCCUGAGUUUCGCAGCCAGAGUCCUGAACUUACCCAGGGAGGUGAAGACCUUCAGUGUCAAGCCGAAGAACCUGAAUUGGUAAAGGUAGUACCUAGCAUGUAUGUAAGGGGAAACAAAGAGAUAGAGCCU